This 777-nucleotide long non-coding RNA is filed under the name Coffea arabica (coffee). Its description in RNAcentral is "long non-coding RNA (CARA_LNC003791)". Lineage: Eukaryota; Viridiplantae; Streptophyta; Magnoliopsida; Gentianales; Rubiaceae. The record is from RNAcentral.
AAUUAAAUAAAAUUGUAUACAACCAUACGGAACUGAAAACUAGAACCAGAACUAUAAGGAACAAAAAUUAGAACUAUGCGGUUCUGGUUCUACCUCUUUGAAGAACCAGAACCGACGGUUCUGGAACCGAACUGUGGGUUCUAGAAUCGUGGCCAUGCCUAACUGAAGACACUAUGGUGCGAACUUUUCAGUGGGAGGAAAAGUGCACUGAUGGGUAACACAAAUACAAAUGAAGGGCAAAUCUAUGUCAACAUAAUCACAGUAUCCUAUGCCAUUGAACUUCUCCUUGCAAACUGCCAGACAGGUUUCAAGAUCAUCCUUAGGACAUACAUUGGGUAUAAACUUUUUGCAAGUAAGUUCUCGUGCAUGAGUAUUCCCUGCCGCUGCCCCCAAGAAAAAAAAAAGAAAAAAAAAAAACAGACACAAACACAUUACUCAUGAGAAUGUUAAGUAAUUUGAAAAAAAAGAAAUAUCUAAUGAAUUAGUCUAACUGAAUUUAAUAUUCAAUUAUGAAUAAAGACUACCUCUCAACUAGCAUAUAAUAUCUUACGGUAUAAGCACAUGCAGAUAUUAUUUUCUGAACUUUGGUUUAAAAGAAUAAAAAAGAGAACAUAACCACAUUAAGAGAAAUGAAGUACAAAAUAACAUGUAUUUAUAAAUUGAAUAAUGCACAUACCUAAAAGAACAAGAGCAAGAAGCAGGAUGCAAGCAUAAGAAGUUUGAGCAGCCAUAUCUAUAGGUAAGGUAUUUCGUCUAAGAGCUUUUUAUCUAUGUGAG